ACUUAUCUUUAGAACUUAUGACACCUUUAGUCAUGAAUGGAAAGAGAUUUAUAUGAAGUAUAUAUGUUAAUGCAACAACAACCCAACAUUAACACAAGUAACAACUUGAACUGUCAGAGGAGCAUUAAAAAUACCAUGUUGGAGUAACUGUAUCCACAGACUGCAUUAUAAACUGAACAGAAAGAAAUUAGAUAGAUUGAUG
Molecule: long non-coding RNA, 202 nt
Filed under: Mytilus galloprovincialis (Mediterranean mussel)
Lineage: Eukaryota; Metazoa; Mollusca; Bivalvia; Mytilida; Mytilidae
Source: RNAcentral